UCUUUCAGCAUAAACGCCUCAGCUGGCUGAAAAGAAGGGUCCCCGAGAGGAGUGCGCUGCCACGAUGGUCAGGUGUGUGCGAUGACACUGGGUCUGUUUCACUCAUGCAGGUCGGAGCUCCCUGUCUGGAGGCCGCGCUGAGGAAGUUCGAUGACGUCUAUAGAAAGGGAAGCAGAGGCACAGAGGGUGGCAGCCGGCUCACCAUCCUUGCCCUUUUGUAUGACUGCCACCUGGUUCGCUGUGUGCUGGAAACAAUGUUGGUUCUGAAGAACAGUGACAUGCAGAGGAUUCCGGGCUGUGAGCCUGAGCCUGUGGAGAAACUGAGGAAAUUGCUAAGAGCGGAAGCAAUUGACUGGUGGACUUCAGGGGUUCUUAUGUAUGAACUAUUGACAGUCGAUGGGGAGAAUUCCCAACCUGGGCUGUCUAGG
Myotis daubentonii (Daubenton's bat) is the source of this 428-nucleotide long non-coding RNA. RefSeq lists it as uncharacterized. The record is from RefSeq and is a predicted model, not a curated record. NCBI's taxonomy places the organism in Eukaryota, Metazoa, Chordata, Mammalia, Chiroptera, Vespertilionidae. The transcript is spliced from 3 exons.